RNAcentral lists this ribosomal RNA (468 nucleotides) under uncultured bacterium. RNAcentral's name for it is "partial 16S ribosomal RNA". It matches the Rfam family "Bacterial small subunit ribosomal RNA", at positions 28 to 507 of the family's 1533-position model. The record is from RNAcentral.
GACGAACGCUGGCGGCGUGCUUAACACAUGCAAGUCGAACGGAAAGGCCCUGCUUUUGUGGGGUGCUCGAGUGGCGAACGGGUGAGUAACCCGUGAGUAACCUGCCCUUGACUUUGGGAUAACUUCAGGAAACUGGGGCUAAUACCGGAUAGGAGCUCCUGCUGCAUGGUGGGGGUUGGAAAGUUUCGGCGGUUGGGGAUGGACUCGCGGCUUAUCAGCUUGUUGGUGGGGUAGUGGCUUACCAAGGCUUUGACGGGUAGCCGGCCUGAGAGGGUGACCGGCCACAUUGGGACUGAGAUACGGCCCAGACUCCUACGGGAGGCAGCAGUGGAGAAUAUUGCACAAUGGGCGGAAGCCUGAUGCAGCAACGCCGCGUGCGGGAUGACGGCCUUCGGGUUGUAAACCGCUUUCGCCUGUGACGAAGCGUGAGUGACAGUAAUGGGUAAAGAAGCACCGGCUAACUACGUG